Long non-coding RNA from Gossypium arboreum, 415 nucleotides. RefSeq lists it as uncharacterized. The record is from RefSeq and is a predicted model, not a curated record. Lineage: Eukaryota; Viridiplantae; Streptophyta; Magnoliopsida; Malvales; Malvaceae. The transcript is spliced from 3 exons.
AAAAAAAAGAAAGAAAAAAAAGGAAAGAAACAGAAUAAAAGAAACGAAAAGCAGGGGAAGGAUAGAAAGAAAGGAGAAAGAAAAGAAAAAGGGAGAAUUAGGGUUUGAUGGUUUGGAAGUUUAAUAGCUAACAUUAUGCCGAAAAUCUAGGCUAAGCAAGAAAAAGGCAAAGUCGACGAGGGUUAGCCCGAAAAUUACGGUUAAGUUAAAGCUAGAACGUGGAAUCAGCAUCCCAGGUCGAUCCCGAAUUCAAUGAGAUAAAGCGUGUUAAUAGUUGGUAAUGACAUGUACCUAGUAUAUUUUAUGUAUGUGUAUUUUGAAUUGUCAAUGUAUUGAUGAAAUAUUUAGAAUUAGGUUUGGUAAUGGUAUAUAAUAGGAUUUGGCUUAAUUGGUAUAAAUUUGAAUUAUUUGAUAA